Molecule: ribosomal RNA, 412 nt
Filed under: Enterobacteriaceae bacterium
Lineage: Bacteria; Pseudomonadati; Pseudomonadota; Gammaproteobacteria; Enterobacterales; Enterobacteriaceae
Description: bacterial SSU rRNA
Rfam family: Bacterial small subunit ribosomal RNA
Source: RNAcentral
CUGAUGCAGCAUGCCGCGUGUAUGAAGAAGGCCUUCGGGUUGUAAAGUACUUUCAGCGGGGAGGAAGGGAGUAAAGUUAAUACCUUUGCUCAUUGACGUUACCCGCAGAAGAAGCACCGGCUAACUCCGUGCCAGCAGCCGCGGUAAUACGGAGGGUGCAAGCGUUAAUCGGAAUUACUGGGCGUAAAGCGCACGCAGGCGGUUUGUUAAGUCAGAUGUGAAAUCCCCGGGCUCAACCUGGGAACUGCAUCUGAUACUGGCAAGCUUGAGUCUCGUAGAGGGGGGUAGAAUUCCAGGUGUAGCGGUGAAAUGCGUAGAGAUCUGGAGGAAUACCGGUGGCGAAGGCGGCCCCCUGGACGAAGACUGACGCUCAGGUGCGAAAGCGUGGGGAGCAAACAGGAUUAGAUACCCC